RNAcentral lists this ribosomal RNA (253 nucleotides) under uncultured bacterium. RNAcentral describes it as "partial 16S ribosomal RNA". It matches the Rfam family "Bacterial small subunit ribosomal RNA", at positions 524 to 776 of the family's 1533-position model. The record is from RNAcentral.
UACGUAGGGGGCAAGCGUUGUCCGGAAUCAUUGGGCGUAAAGAGCGUGUAGGCGGCCAGAUAAGUCCGCUGUGAAAUCUCGAGGCUCAACUUCGAGCUGUCGGUGGAAACUGUCUGGCUAGAGUCCGGAAGAGGAGAAUGGAAUUCCUGGUGUAGCGGUGAAAUGCGCAGAUAUCAGGAAGAACACCAGUGGCGAAGGCGGCUCACUGGCCCGGUACUGACGCUGAGGUGCGAAAGCGUGGGGAGCAAGCAGG